This 486-nucleotide ribosomal RNA is filed under the name uncultured bacterium. RNAcentral describes it as "bacterial SSU rRNA". It matches the Rfam family "Bacterial small subunit ribosomal RNA", at positions 28 to 517 of the family's 1533-position model. The record is from RNAcentral.
GAUGAACGCUAGCGGGAGGCCUAACACAUGCAAGCCGAGCGGUAGAGAUUCUUCGGAAUCUUGAGAGCGGCGUACGGGUGCGGAACACGUGUGCAACCUACCUUUAUCUGGAGGAUAGCCUUUCGAAAGGAAGAUUAAUACUCCAUAAUAUAUUGAUUGGCAUCAAUUGAUAUUGAAAGCUCCGGCGGAUAGAGAUGGGCACGCGCAAGAUUAGUUAGUUGGUGAGGUAACGGCUCACCAAGACGAUGAUCUUUAGGGGCCUGAGAGGUGAUCCCCCACACUGGUACUGAGACACGGACCAGACUCCUACGGGAGGCAGCAGUGAGGAAUAUUGGUCAAUGGGUGCAAGCCUGAACCAGCCAUCCCGCGUGAAGGACGACUGCCCUAUGGGUUGUAAACUUCUUUUGUAUAGGGAUAAACCUACCCUCGUGAGGUAGCUGAAGGUACUAUACGAAUAAGCACCGGCUAACUCCGUGCCAGCAGCCG